This 1389-nucleotide unclassified non-coding RNA is filed under the name Hevea brasiliensis (rubber tree). Lineage: Eukaryota; Viridiplantae; Streptophyta; Magnoliopsida; Malpighiales; Euphorbiaceae. The record is from RNAcentral.
AAAUGGAGAAGUUUGCUAUUCCAAAUAUGGCUCCUAUCCUUUGAGAGGAAAAUAUUGUCAUGAAAUGGCUUUGCGGAUCCUUCUUGCAUCUAUUGAGAGCCAUGCAAAUCGAUAUAAGAGAUAUAUAGUUCCAGUAUUAUCUGUUCAGAUGGAUUUCUAUGUUCGCGUUUUUGUUCGUAUAUACACUUCUGCAAGUGAUGUGAAAAAUACUCCUUUGAAGCUCUCAUAUGUCUAUCAAUGCAUUGGCUGCGACUCAUUUCAUCUUCAGACAGUUGGGAGGACAGUCUCAAAGGAUAAGAGUGUCCGAUGCCUCCCUGGAUUUGGCCCUGCAGUUCCUCAAGAGUGUAGUGAUUGUGGUAAGAAAUUCAACAUGGGUGGACCCAUAUGGUCUGCCCCCAUUCAUGAUCAAGAAUGGGUAGCUGCCAUGCUUGCAAAUGUGAAAUCAAUGAAGGAACGCUAUCCUGCUUAUGAGCGGAUCUCUGCUGUAUUGACAACUAUAUCAGAGGAACUACCUGAUAUUCCUCUGUUUCUGAGUUUGCACAAUCUCUGUGCAACACUAAAAUGCACUUCUCCCUCGGCAGUAAUAUUUCGCUCUGCUGUGAUCAACGCAGGAUAUCGCAUAUCAGGGACUCAUGUGAAUCCUUUGGGGUUGAAAACAGAUGCUCCUAUGAAUGUCAUUUGGGAUAUCAUGCGUUGCUGGGUCAGAAAUCAUCCUGUGAAAGCACAACCAUCUGACCAGUCUGGAAGUGUGAUUCUUGCUAAGGAGCCUGUUCUGCAGGCUAAUUUUGCUCGGGCUGUUGCAUCCCUUAGCCAGGCACAAGCCAAGAAGGUUGCGCGUUUCCUCCCUAAUCCUGAGAGGAAUUGGGGUCCAAAACUAAGGGCAGGCCGGCAGAUCACCAGUAAGCAUGUGUCUCUUUUGGGUCCUAAAGCAUUGAAUGCAAUUAGCAACCAUGGGGAUGGCGAGGGUAGCAACAAUGAGAACGGCGAUGUCAGCAACCAUGAGAAUGGCGAUGGUAGCAACCAUGAGAAUGGUAAUGGUAGCAACCAUGAGGAUGUCGAGGAGCCUGCAGCCAAGCGUAAGAAGACCGAAGAAUCUGAUUCAUAACUUAUAUAUCUUGGCCAAGUGUCUGCAGUUUUUAUCCCAUCAUAAUCCAUCUCUUCUGCUGCAUUUUCUUGCAGAGUGAGAUCCAUCUUCUUUCUGAUAACUGUGAAAACGUCUAUCGAUAAUGGGGAGGAUUUCAUCUUGUUUAUCUCAAGUAUACUUUUUAAUUUUUAAAGGUAUUUUAGGCUAUUUAUAUUUAUUUUGUUUGUCCCUUUUUUCCUUCAUUUCAAUCUUAAUUCCAGUGCUGUAUUAAAUUUUGUUUUUCAUUUUCAUUUAUCAGAAAACUA